This 253-nucleotide ribosomal RNA is filed under the name uncultured bacterium. RNAcentral's name for it is "partial 16S ribosomal RNA". It matches the Rfam family "Bacterial small subunit ribosomal RNA", at positions 524 to 776 of the family's 1533-position model. The record is from RNAcentral.
UACGAAGGGUGCUAGCGUUGCUCGGAAUCACUGGGCGUAAAGCGCACGUAGGCGGAUUGUUAAGUCAGGGGUGAAAUCCUGGAGCUCAACUCCAGAACUGCCUUUGAUACUGGCGAUCUCGAGUCCGGGAGAGGUGAGUGGAACUGCGAGUGUAGAGGUGAAAUUCGUAGAUAUUCGCAAGAACACCAGUGGCGAAGGCGGCUCACUGGCCCGGUACUGACGCUGAGGUGCGAAAGCGUGGGGAGCAAACAGG